Gasterosteus aculeatus aculeatus (three-spined stickleback) is the source of this 2571-nucleotide long non-coding RNA. NCBI's taxonomy places the organism in Eukaryota, Metazoa, Chordata, Actinopteri, Perciformes, Gasterosteidae. The record is from Ensembl.
GGGUUCGUUAAUGGUUUCAGGCCCUGCCGGAAUCGACCAGAAGCAACUUGUUGGUUGUUUCCCGUGGCGAGCUUCUCCAACAGGGAAACUUAAAAGUGACUAAAAGGAAGUUUUAGGGAAGUGAUGUGACGUCUGAGUCAUAAAGAGUUGUUUGUGUGGUGGAGAGAGAAGCGGUGGAUUAUUAUUCUGGAUCAUUGACUGAGUGAACAAAGCUCACUUUGUCUCGUUUCAUUCAAGUCUUCAGUUGAGUCAAACGAAGCAGACGAGGACGUUUAUUAUUUAUCGCGUUUUUUUGGUUCAGGGGGUAAAAACCAAACCAGCAAACAACCAGCAAAUAGAAACAAUGUUUGUGUUGCUUGCAAAGCUGCAGCCACAGACUUUCAUGAAUGUCGGUUUUAUGUCUGUAUUUUGAAGAAAGGGUUUAAUUAUCUGAAAUGCAAAACAAAAAAGCACAAAAACUGAAUUAUGUUAACAUGAACAAUGCAAUACACCUGUUUAAUAUGUCCUGUUUAAUUGUUGACAAAAAGGAUAUUUCCAAGCUGCUAUCAGUGAAGUUCACAACUGACUUUUAGCAUUUUGGGACCAUUUGUUUAAAGUCAAACAUAGUUGUCCCCUUUUAUAUAUUUGUCUUCGAUUCAUUCAUCAUAUCGGCAUAAUGUGCUAAUGUUUCACUCCUAAUGGUACAAAUGUUGUGAUGUUCCAGACCUGCAUUGUUCCUGCGAAUGUAUUAUUAUUAUAAUAACUCUUGCUCACUCGCUGUAUGUGGGUUAGUAAUGCUUCAUGUAUGACGUGGGGUUGGAACUGUGUGUGCGUGUGUGACAGAGAGAGAGAGAGAUGCAUGCUGGGUCGCCAGUGGAGCUUUGGGCCAGUUUGUUGUUGUGUUUUGAUUGAUCUUCAAAUCUCUGCAAGCUGUUGGGACCUCUGCAUCCUCUCCCUCUGCUUGCUGACUUUCAUUGUGAAUGAGCCCACUGCUCACAGCAUGUGGCCUUCACACGUGUGUGUGUCCUGCGUGUGAAGGAUGUGCACCACGUGUGUGUGUGUUUUGGCAUGUUUGAGUGAGGAGUGACAUUAAACCUCGUCUGAACAGGACUGUGUGUGUGUGUGUGUGUGUGUGUGUAGAUAGAUGGUGUUUGGUCUCAAUGUGUCGGUGGUUACGACCGGAAGCUGCAGCUGAACACGAAUCCUCACUUCUCAUCGAUGUCAGUGAUCAUCAGCCGGUUUCCACACUACGUUUGAACGUGUGUGUAAAGCAGGUGAUCACACACUCCUCCGGUGAUACUUAACAAAUAGUUUAUCUUCAUAUUGUCUGGUCAAUUAUCACUCACCAAUACGUAGAGUCCUUUCAAAAUAAAACGCUGUCUUCAAAGGAGAAUGUGACCAAACCACUUAAAUAAAUGUAACUAGUGUUUGAUUUAAAAGUUAACUUUGGAACUGGGCGCGACUGAAGUACGCCACUGCUAGAGGUGGUGUAGAAGCUAGUGGUAGGAGGUGGUGUAGAAGCUAGUGGUAGGAGGUGGUGUAGAAGCUAGUGGUAGGUAGCAGGUGGUGUAGAAGCUAGUGGUAGGUAGGAGGUGGUGUAGAAGCUAGUGGUAGGUAGCAGGUGGUGUAGAAGCUAUUGGUUAAAUUAGGCCGAGCUUUAGGAAGUGUGUAUGAAUCCUCACGUGGUGGAAGUCCAGCGAUCAAUAGAGAGGCGUAAGAUAAGAGCUUCAGGCGCUUCAGAGAACCAAACCACCUCAAAGUCUACGAGGCCUCGUGUCUAAUCGAGGGUCCCGCUCAGCUUCCCGACCGACUUACAUUAUAGUGCUGGAAUGUUUUCACUUGGAAGUGACCACGAAACGCAGCAGUGAGGAUUGGUCCGUUUUGGAGGACGAAUAGUAUCUUAAGUGGGUGCAGAUUGUAUCAGCGGGCAACGGCCUCAGGAUCUGAGUGCCUCAGACCUCCAGGGGGAAUGGAACAGAUGAUCUAAGUCCUGCCUGUUUUUAUCGGGUCGGUCACACCUCUUCAGCUCCUCUGUUGGGAACCAGUUACUGUUCAACUGUGAUCUUCUCCCCUGCAAGUAGCGGCUCCCUCUGCGAGCGUGACCGGAUCAAAGGGGCCGUGAUCCAAUAGACUGAAGAACCUGAGUCUCUGCCUUGCUUUAGUUUGUGCAGCUGUCCGUGGUGCUCGUCUUCGUACGGCAUCUCCGUUUGUGUUGAGGCCUUCGUUUGAACUCGUUCUAGAGGAUCAGCCUUUUACUGUCAGCAUUAAACCUUUAACGCGCCAUCAUGCGCUUCACAUCCGGCCUGGUCAUAAUUUGGUAGUAUUGCAAGAAAUGUAUUUUCAGUUUGCUUUGCUCUGGUCCACUGCUUUCCUCUCCUGCAGUUUGAAUGUUAAAAAUCAUCAUUCCUCUCCACAGUAGGUGUACUGUACUGUACUUCAGGAGCGUGAAGGAAGUCUGCUGAAGGAAAUGAGAGUGGGAGCAGAUGAAUGACGGUCGAAUGUCUUGUUUCCAUGCGAUAAACUCCAUCUCGCUAUCUGGAGGACCAGAGAUCACUGACCACAUCUUUUAGUCCGCUAUUCUCCUGAGAGGCC